CCUACGGGAGGCAGCAGUGAGGAAUAUUGGUCAAUGGACGCAAGUCUGAACCAGCCAUGCCGCGUGCAGGAAGACGGCUCUAUGAGUUGUAAACUGCUUUUGUACGAGGGUAAACGCAGAUACGCGUAUCUGUCUGAAAGUAUCGUACGAAUAAGGAUCGGCUAACUCCGUGCCAGCAGCCGCGGUAAUACGGAGGAUUCAAGCGUUAUCCGGAUUUAUUGGGUUUAAAGGGUGCGUAGGCGGUCGGAUAAGUUAGAGGUGAAAUCCCGAGGCUCAACUUCGGAAUUGCCUCUGAUACUGUUCGGCUGGAGCUUAGUUGCGGUAGGCGGAAUGUGUGGUGUAGCGGUGAAAUGCUGAGAGAUCAUGAAGAACACCGAUUGCGAAGGCAGCUUACCAAGCUACUUCUGACGUUGAGGCACGAAAGCGUGGGGAGCAAACAGGAUUAGAUACCCCGGUAGUC
This 460-nucleotide ribosomal RNA is filed under the name uncultured bacterium. RNAcentral's name for it is "partial 16S ribosomal RNA". It matches the Rfam family "Bacterial small subunit ribosomal RNA", at positions 338 to 795 of the family's 1533-position model. The record is from RNAcentral.